AUGUCGCGAAAGGAAUAUUCAUGGUUUCUGAAGACUGACUAUGCUCCCUCGAGUACUACGCAGCAACAAACUCAGGACAACUCAGCUGAGAACUUUAAAAGAGCAAACAAGGUUCUGGCUUCGGAUUCUGAGCCGGUUCACAUAUGGAAUUUCUCUGGGCGAACAACCUUCAUAUUGAUGAAUGAAUGGAACCGUAUGCCCCAAGAUCCUCAGCCUUCUGACCAGGAGAUGAAAACACUGAGUUUACAACUUAUGCAACUACUGUCAGACUCCAGAUCCUUGAUGGUUUUGCCUUCCUCUGCAAUAUGGAUUACCCUGGUAUGGAAGGGAGAACACCCUGUUACUGUCACACCAUGGUGA
Molecule: ribosomal RNA, 360 nt
Filed under: Triticum aestivum (bread wheat)
Lineage: Eukaryota; Viridiplantae; Streptophyta; Magnoliopsida; Poales; Poaceae
Description: partial small subunit ribosomal RNA
Source: RNAcentral